RNAcentral lists this long non-coding RNA (2063 nucleotides) under Physcomitrium patens. RNAcentral's name for it is "long non-coding RNA (PPAT_LNC001043)". The record is from RNAcentral. Lineage: Eukaryota; Viridiplantae; Streptophyta; Bryopsida; Funariales; Funariaceae.
GUUUGAUAUACCUUAUCAAAAUUAUUAUAGAUUGAUUAAAUAAAAUGAAGCCGAAGGUAGCAAACAUAGAAAUCGGUACGAUAUCCAAUUUAUUUUGUAGAAUAUCAUGUAAUCCACCCACAGGAUAAAAAUCGCACUUACCGAGUAAAGGCCAAACUUGACCUCCACCUGCAGUCGUCUGCAAAAACCAUAGCAAACCGAUGACCCUGUCGUAAAAGCUGAGCCCUUCUAACUUUAUGUUGCACUUUUUUUGUUUUUAAAAGGUGAAGCGCUUCGGAAUGUUUACUCACAACCUCCCAACGCCAGCAAAGCCAUCACAGCUAGAACCUUUUCACUUUUUCAACCACACCCACGCGCACACAAGAGAGGGAAAUAGGGAGGGAGAGAGAUCGAGAUCGAAAUGGAUUCCCCUUCCAUCCACCAAGGGCUACGAAGCAGAUAUUUCCGGCUAUUGUUCAACACACCUUUUGAGCAUGCAAAGACCACCCCUAACCCCAGGUGAGAAAAAGCUUCUCCUCAUCUUCCUCUUCUUCCAGGUAAUAACUUCAACAAACCCAUCGCCACUCAGGCACCGAGCUCCUCCUCCUCCUCAGAUUCUGGCCAUCAAUGCCCACACAUCGUAGAGUGGUCCCAAACCACGAAAUGUGUUUUUUCCUUUGCAAAAGUUCUCCUUUCAUUGCCGGCCUUUUUCGCAAUGCCAGGACAAUUUGAAUGAAGUGCAACAAAUCUCGUUUCGCAUGAACGCACGCCUAUCUUACAAUCCCUUGCGUUCGAGAAAUCCCUUGCGCAUGAGAACCACGACUUGGAUGCAGAAGAAAAUGGCUUGUGAGUUCCAAUUUCACCCCUGACUGGAACCAAAAGGUGUCUUGCUGUGCGAACUUGUUGAUUUGUGCAAGCCACGUCAUACGAGAUGUCGCAUGAACGAUGGUUCGUUGGGUGGGAGUCCUCUGUUCGCUGGACUGCCUUUGUCUCUGCGCUUUUGUUCAUCCAGAACAGGUUGUUCCUGACACAUGAAUAUGUUUUCUGAAUGCCCAGUUGCUACAGAUGUUGGAACAACCAGUUCCUUUGAUGUUGUUGACAAUUAUGUAUCAGAUCUCCAAGAUGAACACAAAAACUGGGGAAAAGUUAUUCUAACUAAAGUAAACAAUUCCUGCCAUAUCAUUUUCAUACCAUUAUUUCAUAUUAUAGAAAGAUUGAGAUCUCGAAUUUUGUCUGGGUCAUGUACGAAUUUCUUUGUGUUGUUCCGAACUGUUGUGCUCCUCCCCUAGAGAAGUGCAUGUGUUAUCGGAAAGGCAGGGGAUACACCCAAAUUUGGUCCGAAAUUUGUAGAAAUUUGGUAUAAAAAUUCAUGAGAAUGCAUAGUUUCUGACUUAAAAAAUAGGUAGUGCUAAAUAAUUCCAUCAGAAGUAUUGGAGGACAGUCUUGAAUUUGAAACAGUGGUGGUAACAUGGUUUAAUAAGAUGGCAUGAUUCCUCCAUAAAUGUGAAAUUCUUAAGGAAUGCAACUUACUUUUAAUUUAACAGAACGGUACAAGUGAACAUUCUAUGAGUAUCUUUGCAAGAAUUGGGUAACGACAAAGAGUUUACUUGUAUUGUUACAGUUAUUUCAAGGAAUAUGUUUCUAGAAAACUCUACAAGAAUCUAAAAUACGAUGCAUGGUGUUUUACAUAAAUAAAGACAUGAAUGGAUUUGAUUUAAGUUUUAUGCCCAAAGAAAGAAACGUGAUAAUAAUUAAUAAUGUUAAAAAGAUAAAAAGAGGAGGAAAAUGAAAUAAAUUUAAAAUAGAGUAUUUAAAAUGUAAGCGAUUUAGAAGUCAGAGAAUGAUGUUGCUAAUAUGGAGGCAUCAAUGGUGUUCAUUCUACAUAUUUACAAGUUAGUAGAACGUUCAUGUAUACAUGAAACAUUUCAAAUUAUAAUAGGAAAUUAAUGAUGCUAAUAAAAAAUACUAUAUAUAUAUAUUGAAGUGUAAUCUCAAAGUUAUAAUAACCAGAGACACCAUUAAUUGCAUUUAAGUCACAAGAUAAAAUAAUUUUAUCUUACUUCCCUGAACAACAAUAUGAACUU